UUUCCAGAAACAGUUCAGGAUGUUUUCUUCUCGUACAAGUUGUGCUUCUGUUGGAUUCUGUUCAUGGAUGGAACGACAUAUGGGUUCAAUAUAAUGAGCAGUUCUGGUAAGUGGCAGCAUUUUACAGUACCGAUACCUUUUGGUAUAUUUUGUGUACUGCACAUACCUCUGCUACAGUUCACUCGAAAGUGAGCCAAGGGAAUAAUAUGCAUGAGUGCAGUGGUCUCAUGAAGCUGCAGUUUCCACUGGGAUGCUUAUCUUCGGUUUUCUUACCACUGUUCGAUCUGUGGUUGGUUCUGCUGUCUGUGUUGGAUCUUCCCCAACUCUUGUAGGUAAUUCUUGACAGAACCUUUGAAACACUUGGUUUUAAUGAAGAUUAUCUAUUUUCCUAUAAUUCUCGGAGUAAGGUGUGCUUUAAAACUGACUUACAACUGGAGUUUUAGAUUUUUGGACAACUGUCCUUGAUUAUUGUUUACUGACAUUGAGACACUAUAUCAAGUUUUUUCUGUGCAAAAAAUUAAUUAACUUUUGUUGAAUACCACUUGCAUGGUGAAAAUGCUGGGAAGCCAAGCCAGAAGAACAUGAAGAAAAUGAGAAAGCCAAGUCUGUGACGUAUUCAUAUGCCUUCUUCCAUAUCAUCUUCUCACUUGCAAGUAUGUACUCGGCAAUGCUUCUACAGGGUGGUCAACCUCAGUUGGGGACUGGGGAGAGUGGGAAGUUGAUUGACGUGGGGUGACCGUCCGUCUGGGUGAGGGUCAUGACUAGUUGGGCAACUGCAAGUCUCUACAUCUGGUCCCUUUUGGCUCCUAUUCUGUUCCCUGAGAGGGAAUUGUAAAAUCC
Rosa rugosa (rugosa rose) is the source of this 840-nucleotide long non-coding RNA. RefSeq lists it as uncharacterized. The record is from RefSeq and is a predicted model, not a curated record. The transcript is spliced from 2 exons. NCBI's taxonomy places the organism in Eukaryota, Viridiplantae, Streptophyta, Magnoliopsida, Rosales, Rosaceae.